RNAcentral lists this ribosomal RNA (328 nucleotides) under uncultured Neocallimastigales. RNAcentral describes it as "partial large subunit ribosomal RNA". The record is from RNAcentral. Lineage: Eukaryota; Fungi; Neocallimastigomycota; Neocallimastigomycetes; Neocallimastigales.
GUUGUUUGGAUAGAAAUCAAUUGUGUGGAACGGGUUGUUGUGGGGUUGAGACCUUAUCAGCUCUCCUUACUCUUUACCUUUUUCACGCAAUGCACUUUCUGUUUAACAAGUCAACAUCAAUUUCUUUUGUUGUAAAAGGGCCGGCGGAAGGUGGCUUUCUUUUCGGAGAAAGUGUUUAUAGCCGUUGGUCUCUACAAUCGGAGAGAUUGAGGUCUGCAGCGUAGAUCCUUCGGGGUUAGAUACGUUGGUGCUAAGUUAUAAUCCUACAUAGACAACUUGUUGACUAUGUUCGAUCAUGUAGCUUACUCGCUAGCGCUAUUUUACCUAC